RNAcentral lists this ribosomal RNA (477 nucleotides) under uncultured bacterium. Its description in RNAcentral is "partial 16S ribosomal RNA". It matches the Rfam family "Bacterial small subunit ribosomal RNA", at positions 28 to 523 of the family's 1533-position model. The record is from RNAcentral.
GACGAACGCUGGCGGCGUGCUUGACACAUGCAAGUCGAACGGUAAGGCCCUUCGGGGUACACGAGUGGCGAACGGGUGAGUAACACGUGGGUGAUCUGCCCUGCACUUCGGGAUAAGCCUGGGAAACUGGGUUUAAUACCGGAUAGGACCACUGCCUGCAUGGGUGGUGGUGGAAAGCUUUUGCGGUGUGGGAUGGGCCCGCGGCCUAUCAGCUUGUUGGUGGGGUGAUGGCCUACCAAGGCGACGACGGGUAGCCGGCCUGAGAGGGUGACCGGCCGCACUGGGACUGAGAUACGGCCCAGACUCCUACGGGAGGCAGCAGUGGGGAAUAUUGCACAAUGGGCGCAAGCCGGAUGCAGCGACGCCGCGUGAGGGAUGACGGCCUUCGGGUUGUAAACCUCUUUCAGCACCGACGAAGCGCAAGUGACGGUAGGUGCAGAAGAAGGACCGGCCAACUACGUGCAGCCGCCGCGGUAA